UCUCAGUUGGUAGAGCAUGGUGUUUGCAACGCCAGGGUUGUGGGUUCGAUUCCCAC
Salmo salar (Atlantic salmon) is the source of this 56-nucleotide non-coding RNA. Lineage: Eukaryota; Metazoa; Chordata; Actinopteri; Salmoniformes; Salmonidae. The record is from Rfam.